RNAcentral lists this ribosomal RNA (457 nucleotides) under Cominella nassoides. RNAcentral describes it as "partial 16S large subunit ribosomal RNA". It matches the Rfam family "Bacterial large subunit ribosomal RNA", at positions 1851 to 2565 of the family's 2925-position model. The record is from RNAcentral. Lineage: Eukaryota; Metazoa; Mollusca; Gastropoda; Neogastropoda; Buccinidae.
AGUCGGACCUGCCCAGUGAAAUUUUUUAACGGCCGCGGUACUCUGACCGUGCAAAGGUAGCAUAAUCAUUUGCCUUAUAAUUGAAGGCUAGUAUGAAUGGUUUGACAAGAAUAUAGCUGUCUCUUUCUGAUUAAAUAGAAUUUUAUUUAGAGGUGAAGAAGCCUCUAUCAAAUUAAAAGACAAGAAGACCCUAUCGAGCUUUAAAAAAGUUAAUAGAUGNGAAUAAUUUAUANUAUUUAAAAAAUUAACUAUUAAAAAUUUUAGUUGGGGCGACUGAGGAACAAAAAAAGCUUCCUUUAUNAGCAUAANAACCACACGAGUAUUGAUCCAGAAUAUUUUGAUUAAAGGAAUUAGUUACCGUAGGGAUAACAGCAUUAUCUUUUUUAAGAGUUCUUAUCGAAAAGAAGGUUUGUGACCUCGAUGUUGGACCAGAAUAUCCUAAAGAUGCAGUAGUCUU